GGUCCUGACACCCUCUCCCAACCUUAUCCGCACGCCGUUCUAACCUCGCACCCAUGCCACCCCCUCCCCGGGCAGCAGGCGCCGCAGACGCCACCUCCCUCCCCCGGCAGUAGGUGUCGUCGCCCACACCUCCUUCCGCCGGCAGAAGCACUGCCGCCCCCAUCUCCCUCCCCGCCAGACGCACCGCCGGCCCCAACUUCCUCCCCGGCAGACGCGCCAUCGCGACUCCACCUCCAGGCCGGGUCGCCACGCGCCUCCACCUCCCGGCUUCACGGCGCUGCCCCGUCGGCCUCCUCCGGCGGCCCCGUCGCCGUCCUUCUCCUGGAGCCCCGGCGGCUUCCGUCGUGCGCGCCAAUCAGGCCACACGGCCACCCCCGUCGCCCUAGCAUGCUUGCUUGGUGGAGACUAGGAGCAGCGACAGAGAUGCCGCUCCGCGGCCGAACCCCUGCCUCCACUUGGCUCCGUCCGCUGCAGCACACCGCCGCUCCCCGUCGCCCACCUGCCAUGUUCAUGUCCACAGCUACACCUUACAAACAAGGAGGCUUUGAAAAAAACCCAGGAUGUACAAACUUGACAGUUCAAGCUACAAAUGGAGCGUUCCAUGCAGCAACAUCGACCCAACGGGCAUACGAUGGCCGACGACGGCUGGGUUUGGCGUGCGUCUCUCCGGCGUGCUGGGCGUGGUGCCGAGAGUGCUGCAAUUCGAAGUGGCUGGGCAUUAAAUUUUAGAGAUUGCUUUUUUAGUACAUUCAGGGAAGUUGCUUUCUUCCUUUUUGCAUUUUGUCUAUGCACAUACUUAGUUCAGACUUCAGAGUGGUUCUGACCUUGGCUCCUCUCACCUGAACACUUGCACCAUUUGUAAAAGAUACAUAAAAUGAGUGUCGUAACUAGCAUUCAAAAAUGAAUCCAGAAUAAGUAGGAAGACACCACAACCUCAUCCACGGGUUCCAGUAGCUCAAGCUUUUAAGAAAAUACAUUUGACACGAAGCUUUAUUCAUACAGUUGUAAUAGUUUUUGAAGUAAUUUUAUCACUUCUGUAGCUUUGCUAUUUUUUUUGAAAUGCUUUGUUUUGCAUAACAAUUGCUUUGGCAGUAGCAAAAAGAAGUUUUCUCUGGUGGCAAGGGGCCAUGCAGGCUGUUUUGUUACUUGCAAGGGACCAUGCAAGGACCUAUCCAGCCGCUAAACCACAACCGCUUCUGGUCCGGCCGCCAUCAACACACACCGCCACGGCCUACUGCUGACACGCCCGCGCCUCCCCGAAGUCCAGGUUGUUCCCCGAGCGAACGUGCACCCUCAACUCUCUAGUGCCUGAGAAGCCACAUGGAAGCCCAAUCGUGCGUGCGUUGGUGUCCCCAGAAUUCGUCAUGGAGGUUUUGAUUAGUCUGGGUUGGUUUCUGGCAUGCAAAUUUCACUCACUACACGUUCACUCACAACAAUAACUAUCUUGUUUCAGAUGCAGCGUCGGGCUGUUAUAACAACUUGUGUAGUAAGUAUAUCAGAGUAGCUAGCUUUGUGGAUCCUUCUCAGCAUUGCCACUCGCCUGGUUAUAUUGUCACUAAUUUACUAAUAAAUCAAGAUCCUCCUCACUGACAGGUCACUCCCCACUGCUCUGCUCCGUGGCGGAUCCUCCUCUGACCGGCUUCCCCCACCACUACUGCAAUACCUCCUGACUACCCCCUGCGUCACCGGCAGCCGCGGUGGUCUGCUCCUCCCGGAUUGCACUCAUCAGCAGGUCAAACACAAAGCUCGUGGCAGGUCGACUAAAGAAGUUGGAGCAAAAAAGGAGGCACAAAAAAGUCAUUACAGCAUCAUCCUUUGAAGAAAGAACAGAGAGCGUCCAGGUGGUUGGUUUCUGACCACCGAGAACAGUUUUGGGCUUUUGGCAAUUGUUUUGCUUUCUUAAAACUGUUAGCAAUUGAAACCAAUGUCUUGGGUUUGAAAAAAGAUAUAUGUUUGCCCAUUACUGAAACCCUAGCUCUGAGCAUGUUAAAACUUGCUUAUGAGAAUUGACCCCAAUUUUCCUA
This is a non-coding RNA of Aegilops tauschii subsp. strangulata, 2024 nucleotides long. The record is from RefSeq and is a predicted model, not a curated record. NCBI's taxonomy places the organism in Eukaryota, Viridiplantae, Streptophyta, Magnoliopsida, Poales, Poaceae.